GGGAAUGUGACUUAGUGGUAGAGUACUUGCCUAGUAUGCAUGAAGCCCUGGGUUUGAUUCCUCAUAACCCCA
Molecule: non-coding RNA, 72 nt
Organism: Dipodomys ordii (Ord's kangaroo rat)
Lineage: Eukaryota; Metazoa; Chordata; Mammalia; Rodentia; Heteromyidae
Source: Rfam